Molecule: ribosomal RNA, 113 nt
Filed under: Pteropus alecto (black flying fox)
Lineage: Eukaryota; Metazoa; Chordata; Mammalia; Chiroptera; Pteropodidae
Source: RNAcentral
GUCUAUGGCCAUGACACCCUGAACGUCCCCGAUCUCAUCUGAUCUCAGAAGCUAAGUAGGCCUGGUUAGUACUUGGAUGGGAGACCGCCUAGUAAUACCAGGUGCUGUAGGUG